This 889-nucleotide ribosomal RNA is filed under the name uncultured organism. RNAcentral's name for it is "bacterial SSU rRNA". It matches the Rfam family "Bacterial small subunit ribosomal RNA", at positions 30 to 944 of the family's 1533-position model. The record is from RNAcentral.
UGAACGCUAGCGGCGCGCUUAAUGCAUGCAAGUCGAGCGAUGAGACUCCUACGGGAGCACAUCAGCGGCAGACGGGUGAGUAACACGUAGAUGACGUACCCCCAAGACGGGGAUAACGGAUGGAAACAUGCGCUAAUACCGGAUGACCUUACGAUGUCAGAAUGGUAAGGAAAGCUACGGCGCUUGAGGAGCGGUCUGCGGCCCAUCAGCUAGUUGGUAGGGUAAAGGCCUACCAAGGCGAAGACGGGUAGGGGGUGUGAGAGCACGGCCCCCCACAAUGGGACUGAGACACGGCCCAUACUCCUACGGGAGGCAGCAGCAGGGAAUAUUGCACAAUGGACGGAAGUCUGAUGCAGCGACGCCGCGUGAGUGAAGAAGGCCUUCGGGUUGUAAAACUCUUUUGAGGGGGAAGAGCGAGGACGGUACCCCUGGAAUAAGCGUCGGCUAACUACGUGCCAGCAGCCGCGGUAAGACGUAGGACGCGAGCGUUAUCCGGAUUUACUGGGCGUAAAGCGUCUGUAGGCGGAUGUGUAAGUUGGGCGUGAAAGCUCCGGGCUUAACCCGGAGAGGCCGUUCAAUACUGCAUAACUUGAGGGUGUCAGAGGGGAGCGGAAUUCCCGGUGUAGCGGUAAAAUGCGCAGAGAUCGGGAGGAACACCAGUGGCGGAGGCGGUUCCCUGGGGCACACCUGACGCUGAGAGACGAAAGCUAGGGGAGCGAACAGGAUUAGAGACCCUGGUAGUCCUAGCCCUAAACGAUGAAUGCUAGGUGUGGGAUCGAAUGGUUCCGUGCCGGAGCGAACGCGAUAAGCAUUCCGCCUGGGGAGUACGGCCGGAAGGUUAAAACUCAAACGAAUUGACGGGGCCCCGCACAAGCAGCGGAGCGUGUGG